RNAcentral lists this ribosomal RNA (1526 nucleotides) under Fretibacterium sp. OH1220_COT-178. RNAcentral's name for it is "bacterial SSU rRNA". It matches the Rfam family "Bacterial small subunit ribosomal RNA". Lineage: Bacteria; Thermotogati; Synergistota; Synergistia; Synergistales; Aminobacteriaceae. The record is from RNAcentral.
UACUGAGAGUUUGAUCCUGGCUCAGGACGAACGCUGGCGGCGUGCGUAACACAUGCAAGUUGAACGACGGUGUCAUGAAGUGGUAACACGGAUUGGCAUACGGAGUAGCGGACGGGUGAGUACAACAUGAGAAGCUGUCCAAUAGCGGGGGAUAACGUUCGGAAACGGACCCUAAUACCCCAUAGGCCUUUUGGUUAAAGCAGCGAUGCGCUAUUGGAGGUGCUCGUGUCCUAUCAGCUGGUUGGUGAGGUAACGGCUCACCAAGGCGACGACGGGUAGCCGGCCUGAGAGGGUGUCCGGCCACACUGGAACUGAGAUACGGUCCAGACUCCUACGGGAGGCAGCAGUGGGGAAUAUUGGGCAAUGGGAGAAAUCCUGACCCAGCGACGCCGCGUGAACGAAGAAGGCCUUCGGGUCGUAAAGUUCUUUUAUGUGGGAAGAAGGAAGUGACGGUACCACAUGAAUAAGCCCCGGCUAACUACGUGCCAGCAGCCGCGGUAAUACGUAGGGGGCGAGCGUUGUCCGGAAUUACUGGGCGUAAAGGGCACGCAGGCUGUGCUUCAAGUCAGCUGUUAAAGGAUGCGGCUUAACCGUGUUAUGCAGUUGAGACUGAGGUGCUGGAGUGCCGUAGAGGCAAGUGGAAUUCCCAGUGUAGCGGUGAAAUGCGUAGAUAUUGGGAAGAACAUCGGUGGCGAAGGCGACUUGCUGGACGGUAACUGACGCUGAGGUGCGAAAGCCAGGGGAGCAAACGGGAUUAGAUACCCCGGUAGUCCUGGCUGUAAACGAUGAAUGCUAGGUGUGCGAGCAGAGAUGUUGGUGUGCCGCAGUUAACGCGAUAAGCAUUCCGCCUGGGGAGUACGGUCGCAAGAUUGAAACUCAAAGGAAUUGACGGGGGCCCGCACAAGCGGUGGAGCACGUGGUUUAAUUCGAUGCAAACCGAAGAACCUUACCUGGGUUUGACAUGUACGUGGUAGGAGUCUGAAAGGAUGACGACGCUGCCUUCGGGCAGUGAGCGUACACAGGUGCUGCAUGGCUGUCGUCAGCUCGUGUCGUGAGAUGUUGGGUUAAGUCCCGCAACGAGCGCAACCCCUGCGAUUAGUUGCCAGCGAUUCGGUCGGGCACUCUAAUGGGACUGCCAUCGACAAGAUGGAGGAAGGUGGGGACGACGUCAAGUCAUCAUGGCCCUUAUGUCCAGGGCGACACACGUGCUACAAUGGUCGGUACAGAGGGAAGCGAGGUUGUGAGGCCGAGCGGAUCCCGAAAAGCCGAUCUCAGUUCGGAUUGAAGUCUGCAAUUCGACUUCAUGAAGCUGGAAUCGCUAGUAAUCGCAGAUCAGCCAAGCUGCGGUGAAUACGUUCCCGGGCCUUGUACACACCGCCCGUCACACCACCCGAGCCGGGUGUACCCGAAGCCGGUGGCCUAACCUUAUGGGAGGAGCCGUCGAAGGUGUGUCUGGUGAGGGGGGUGAAGUCGUAACAAGGUAGCCGUACCGGAAGGUGCGGCUGGAUCACCUCCUUUCUAAGGAG